This 492-nucleotide ribosomal RNA is filed under the name uncultured bacterium. RNAcentral's name for it is "partial 16S ribosomal RNA". It matches the Rfam family "Bacterial small subunit ribosomal RNA", at positions 29 to 507 of the family's 1533-position model. The record is from RNAcentral.
AGUGAACGCUGGCGGUAGGCCUAACACAUGCAAGUCGAACGGCAGCACAGUAAGAGCUUGCUCUUACGGGUGGCGAGUGGCGGACGGGUGAGGAAUACAUCGGAAUCUACUUUUUCGUGGGGGAUAACGUAGGGAAACUUACGCUAAUACCGCAUACGACCUACGGGUGAAAGCAGGGGAUCUUCGGACCUUGCGCGAUUGAAUGAGCCGAUGUCGGAUUAGCUAGUUGGCGGGGUAAAGGCCCACCAAGGCGACGAUCCGUAGCUGGUCUGAGGGGAUGAUCAGCCACACUGGAACUGAGACACGGUCCAGACUCCUACGUGAGGCAGCAGUGGGGAAUAUUGGACAAUGGGCGCAAGCCUGAUCCAGCCAUACCGCGUGGGUGAAGAAGGCCUUCGGGUUGUAAAGCCCUUUUGUUGGGAAAGAAAAGCAGCAGGUUAAUACCCCGCUGUUCUGACGGUACCCAAAGAAUAAGCACCGGCUAACUUCGUG